UACGUAGGAUGCAAGCGUUGUCCGGAUUUAUUGGGUUUAAAGGGUGCGUAGGCGGCUUAUUAAGUCAGUGGUAAAAGGCAGUAGCUUAACUAUAUGUAUGCCAUUGAUACUGAUAGGCUUGAGAUUUCUUGAGGAAGGCAGAAUUCCUGAUGUAGCGGUGAAAUGCUUAGAUAUCAGGAGGAAUACCAAUUGCGAAGGCAGCUUUCUGGGGGACAUCUGACGCUGAGGCACGAAAGCAUGGGGAUCAAACAGG
Molecule: ribosomal RNA, 253 nt
Filed under: uncultured bacterium
Lineage: Bacteria
Description: partial 16S ribosomal RNA
Rfam family: Bacterial small subunit ribosomal RNA
Source: RNAcentral